Long non-coding RNA from Seriola dumerili (greater amberjack), 392 nucleotides. RefSeq lists it as uncharacterized. The transcript is spliced from 3 exons. The record is from RefSeq and is a predicted model, not a curated record. NCBI's taxonomy places the organism in Eukaryota, Metazoa, Chordata, Actinopteri, Carangiformes, Carangidae.
CCUAUAGCACGACGUACUGCAGGUUGUCAACUGAUUUCUAAACAAACGAAACUCUUCCUUGUUAACAUUAAAUGACCUCUUUCGAAGAAAUAUGUUGUUUAAUUGUUUUACAGACUUGUACUAACUUUGCUACAACUGUAACGUUAACCAGAAGAGUGCGAAAUACCAGCUGACGUUGCUCUGGAAUGAAAUGAAAGGGGAAGUGAAACUUAUCAAGGCAGCUGGUUGGACAUAAACCAAAAGGAGCGGAGAUACAACAGAAAGCAAACUUUAAGGUGCUGAACAAGUGAAGGAGACAUAUGAGAAUGGGAAGAGAGGGGGUGAAGUUAGAGUUCAACUAGAGAGUGUCGCGAAGGGAGAGGUUCCUGCAGAUCCAGAGAGCAUGGACGUUG